RNAcentral lists this ribosomal RNA (433 nucleotides) under uncultured bacterium. Its description in RNAcentral is "partial 16S ribosomal RNA". It matches the Rfam family "Bacterial small subunit ribosomal RNA", at positions 29 to 507 of the family's 1533-position model. The record is from RNAcentral.
AACGAACGCUGGCGGCAUGCCUAACACAUGCAAGUCGAACGAGACCUUCGGGUCUAGUGGCGCACGGGUGCGUAACGCGUGGGAACCUUCCCUUAGGUUCGGAAUAACUCCCCGAAAGGGGUGCUAAUACCGGAUAAUGUCUUCGGACCAAAGAUUUAUCGCCUUUGGAUGUGCCCGCGUUGGAUUAGCUAGUUGUUAGGGUAAAAGCCUACCAAGGCGACGAUCCAUAGCUGGUCUGAGAGGCUGAUCAGCCACACUGGGACUGAGACACGGCCCAGACUCCUACGGGAGGCAGCAGUGGGGAAUAUUGGAAAAUGGGCGAAAGCCUGAUCCAGCAAUGACGCGUGAGUGAUGAAGGCCUUAGGGUUGUAAAGCUCUUUUACCCGGGAUGAUAAUGACAGUACCGGGAGAAUAAGCUCCGGCUAACUCCGUG